Molecule: long non-coding RNA, 742 nt
Organism: Lolium rigidum
Lineage: Eukaryota; Viridiplantae; Streptophyta; Magnoliopsida; Poales; Poaceae
Exons: 3
Source: RefSeq, a predicted model, not a curated record
UCGAUACCCUUACAGACCACCGCCGGCGACACAGAAAUCGUCCUCAUUCAUCCGCUCCAUUCCAAUGUCGUGUACCUCAGGCUCGUGGCCACGUCGCAAACUGUCGCCGUGGACAUGGACAGGGAAGAGGUGAUCGAGACCUGCCUGUGUUGCAGCAACGCCUUCUCUACAACAUGCCUUCUUCCACCGUGGCUCCAAUCCACCCGGAUCCCUUCUGCAUCAGGAGGCAAGAAGGACAUUGACAAAAACAAGACCAUGGCAGGCGUUCUGGUUUGUUCAGACAACCACUAUUAGAGAUGAAGGUUUCUUAGAACUGACAAAUGCUGGUGCUCUAAUCAACUAGGAAGCUGAUGGUGGUAACUUGAGAAGCUUGUUUCUUUUUUUGGGAUUGUCGAUUCAGCAGAAAUCUAGUAGUUUUGUCAGAUUUUCGGUUCGCAGCAGAACAGUCCAGAAUAUGUUGUAAACACUAGCAUGAUAAUUCGUUCCUAGCAAAGUUGACGCUUCCACAUGACUAUUCUGACGAGGAAUCUUAUUUAGGGACCUCUGCUUAUGUAGUUAGUGAAUUGAUGAUUUAUUCCAACUGAUCAGUAUUCACUGCCCUAAGCCAAGUAUGGCGUCGUGCUAGUUGAUGGCACAUUGCUCUUGUUAAAUGUAAUGAGAUGGACAAAAUCAGGUUGCUAUCUGUGACACAAGGACUGAACUCCGCAGGAUAUAUAUCACUGACUAUUUUCUGUAUGCAAAA